GAUGAACGCUGGCGGCGUGCUUAACACAUGCAAGUCGAACGGAAAGGCCCAAGCUUGCUUGGGUACUCGAGUGGCGAACGGGUGAGUAACACGUGGGUGAUCUGCCCUGCACUUCGGGAUAAGCCUGGGAAACUGGGUCUAAUACCGGAUAGGACCACUUCUUGGAUGUUGUGGUGGAAAGUUUUUUCGGUGUGGGAUGAGCUCGCGGCCUAUCAGCUUGUUGGUGGGGUAAUGGCCUACCAAGGCGUCGACGGGUAGCCGGCCUGAGAGGGUGUACGGCCACAUUGGGACUGAGAUACGGCCCAGACUCCUACGGGAGGCAGCAGUGGGGAAUAUUGCACAAUGGGCGCAAGCCUGAUGCAGCGACGCCGCGUGGGGGAUGACGGCCUUCGGGUUGUAAACUCCUUUCGCUAGGGACGAAGCGUUUUGUGACGGUACCUUGAGAAGAAGCACCGGCUAACUACGUG
This 467-nucleotide ribosomal RNA is filed under the name uncultured bacterium. RNAcentral's name for it is "partial 16S ribosomal RNA". It matches the Rfam family "Bacterial small subunit ribosomal RNA", at positions 28 to 507 of the family's 1533-position model. The record is from RNAcentral.